UGAACUAUGUCUGGGUGGGGUGAAGCCAAAGGAAACUCUGGUCAAGGUCUGUAGCAGUCCUGACUCAUAAAUCGGUUGUCCACCUGGAUUUAGGGGGUGAAAAGCUAUAGAA
This 112-nucleotide non-coding RNA is filed under the name Pelodiscus sinensis (Chinese soft-shelled turtle). RNAcentral's name for it is "Eukaryotic large subunit ribosomal RNA". It matches the Rfam family "Eukaryotic large subunit ribosomal RNA", at positions 827 to 939 of the family's 3401-position model. Lineage: Eukaryota; Metazoa; Chordata; Testudines; Trionychidae. The record is from Rfam by way of RNAcentral.